Molecule: ribosomal RNA, 233 nt
Filed under: uncultured bacterium
Lineage: Bacteria
Description: partial 16S ribosomal RNA
Rfam family: Bacterial small subunit ribosomal RNA
Source: RNAcentral
CGGACGGGGGAGUAAUGUCUGGGAAACUAGCCUGAUGGAGGGGGGUAACUACUGGAAACGGUAGCUAAUACCGCAUAACGUCGCAAGACCAAAGAGGGGGACCUUCGGGCCUCUUGCCAUCGGAUGUGCCCAGAUGGGAUUAGCUAGUAGGUGGGGUAAAGGCUCACCUAGGCGACGAUCCCUAGCUGGUCUGAGAGGAUGACCAGCCACACUGGAACUGAGACACGGUCCAG